GGAAGGCAUACGCAUCCGGUGGUGCGCCCGGGCUUCAAACCCGGUAGGGGGUGUUAGACACUCCCUGGUAGGUUCGACUCCUGCUGCUUUCCGCCA
Molecule: transfer RNA, 96 nt
Filed under: Lampropedia aestuarii
Lineage: Bacteria; Pseudomonadati; Pseudomonadota; Betaproteobacteria; Burkholderiales; Comamonadaceae
Description: Lampropedia sp. YIM MLB12 tRNA-Sec
Rfam family: Selenocysteine transfer RNA
Source: RNAcentral